UGGGGAAUAUUGGACAAUGGGCGCAAGCCUGAUCCAGCCAUGCCGCGUGAGUGACGAAGGCCUUAGGGUUGUAAAGCUCUUUUGGCGGGGAAGAUAAUGACGGUACCCGCAGAAUAAGCUCCGGCUAACUUCGUGCCAGCAGCCGCGGUAAUACGAAGGGAGCUAGCGUUGUUCGGAAUCACUGGGCGUAAAGCGCACGUAGGCGGAUUUGUUAGUCAGGGGUGAAAUCCCGGGGCCCAACCUCGGAAUUGCCUCUGAUACUGGCUGUCUAGAGUUCGAGAGAGGUGAGUGGAAUUCCUAGUGUAGAGGUGAAAUUCGUAGAUAUUAGGAAGAACACCGGUGGUCGAAGGCGGCUCACUGGCUCGAUACUGACACUGAGGCGCGAAAGCGUGGGGAGCAAACAGGAUUAGAUACCCAGGUAGUCCCUGAGCGGGCUGGCAAGGCGCAU
This 448-nucleotide ribosomal RNA is filed under the name uncultured bacterium. Its description in RNAcentral is "bacterial SSU rRNA". It matches the Rfam family "Bacterial small subunit ribosomal RNA", at positions 355 to 825 of the family's 1533-position model. The record is from RNAcentral.